UACAGAGGGUGCAAGCGUUGUUCGGAAUUAUUGGGCGUAAAGCGCGUGUAGGCGGCUUUGCAAGUCGGGUGUGAAAGCCCUCAGCUCAACUGAGGAAGUGCGCCCGAAACUGCAGAGCUUGAGUGCCGGAGAGGGUGGCGGAAUUCCCCAAGUAGAGGUGAAAUUCGUAGAGAUCGGGAGGAACACCAGAGGCGAAGGCGGCGACCUGGACAAUUACUGACACUCAACUGCGAAAGCGUGGGGAGCAAACAGG
This 253-nucleotide ribosomal RNA is filed under the name uncultured bacterium. RNAcentral describes it as "partial 16S ribosomal RNA". It matches the Rfam family "Bacterial small subunit ribosomal RNA", at positions 524 to 776 of the family's 1533-position model. The record is from RNAcentral.